UCUCAUUGGGCCGUGUGCCUCGCAGAUUGCGGGCUGUCUUCUAAUUCUGCUGCGUCACGGAUUAAGUAAUCCUGAAACCUGUACCAUAAUCCCAAAAAGGAGGGCGAGAUUCCUGUGACUGCUUUAGAGGGCACACAUUCUUUGUCAAGGAUCCCUCAGGAUAAAUAAAUUGGAAGCAAUCACUCAGCAGCACUGGCCAAGUGUUCAGGAAGCUCAAUAACUAUGUAACUUUUGAUCCCAGCAGUAACAAACUCUGAGCUCCAACUUUUAAGAUAAAUAAAAUACAGCAUUAAACUGGAUGAUCCUUCCUUGCUGUGGGUUUUUAUUGGUUGGGAUGAUUCAAAGAUCAGAGGAAAUAAGCCCUUUAAAAUCCACCCAGAAAGCCUGAAAGUAGAAUGAAAAGAUUAAAAGAAUCUCUGUCUGGUUUAAAGCAAAAUAUAGAAUUGAGAGAUGGCUUUGGAAUAUUUGUGUUGUCUGGUCAUAUAUUCUGAGGUAAAGUGGGAUCAUUGACUUUUGGGGGGGGGGGGGGGGUGAAAGCAAACAUUAUGGUCCCUUUUAUUUAUUUCAUUUAUUUAAUAGAGGACAUUUCCGAAUCUCAAAUAUCUUCCACGACUGCAACCGAGACAUCGAAGAAACUUAUGAGUAAAAAACAGGAAGGCAACUUUUUAAAGUGUGCUUCCUGCCAAUGUUUUCCCAGAGAGAUAAACCAGUACCUCCUAGAGAACACGUUGAUACACAGUGACUGACCCCAGUGAUGCAACCAGACGGGGUUAACCUCAAAGGAAAAAAACAGGAAAUAGUUACAUUUUUAAGAGACGGUGAGGAAAUGUGGACGAAAUGCACAUCUGGCUUUAUUUUUCACUCAUGCAUGCCUUUCAGCCACAUGUUAGACCCUCAGGAUAAUCCAGUCUGAUUGAAAACAUCAAGCAAUACCUCUUCAUGUCAGAACAAAAGAAACACUGAAAUUAAUUACGAAAUAACUCAGAAGAACAUGUUUAUUAAGACAUAUAAGAUUUACUUUAAAUAUGUUUGGAUAAAACGUUUUUUUUAUUAAGCCCUUUGUGUAAUAAUGUUAAACGUACAGCAGACGUCUAAAUAGAUGAGAUAAUACAAUUCUAACAGUCAGAGUAAAUCUGAAUAAAAAUGCUUUGCAAAAGUAAUCAUAUACCUUGAAUUUUUACACAAUUUUUGCAUUACUUUCACAAACCACUGUAUUUCAUAUUUUUAUGUUACACAACGUAGCACAUAAUUGGGAUUAGAAAUAUAAAUGAUGUAGAUGAAAUUGGGUGUGGAUUUACAGGGGACAAAACAAACAUGUGCAAGGAGGUGGUCAGGUCCCAUAGAUGCAGUGCACAUGUACGCACAGUUCUACUAAUCUUUCACACAGGGAGCAUGAAAACAAAAUGUUAAAAAAUAAAUAAAUGCAUGUAAAACAACUUCCAUUU
Long non-coding RNA from Xiphophorus couchianus (Monterrey platyfish), 1445 nucleotides. RefSeq lists it as uncharacterized. NCBI's taxonomy places the organism in Eukaryota, Metazoa, Chordata, Actinopteri, Cyprinodontiformes, Poeciliidae. The transcript has 2 exons. The record is from RefSeq and is a predicted model, not a curated record.